UACGGAGGGUGCAAGCGUUAAUCGGAAUUACUGGGCGUAAAGGGCGCGUAGGCGGCCUCCUAAGUCAGACGUGAAAUCCCCCGGCUUAACCUGGGAACUGCGUCUGAUACUGGGAGGCUAGAGUGCGGGAGAGGGAUGUGGAAUUCCAGGUGUAGCGGUGAAAUGCGUAGAUAUCUGGAGGAACACCGGUGGCGAAGGCGGCAUCCUGGACCGGUAUUGACGCUGAGGAGCGAAAGCCAGGGGAGCAAACGGG
RNAcentral lists this ribosomal RNA (253 nucleotides) under uncultured bacterium. RNAcentral describes it as "partial 16S ribosomal RNA". It matches the Rfam family "Bacterial small subunit ribosomal RNA", at positions 524 to 776 of the family's 1533-position model. The record is from RNAcentral.